GCCAGGCAUGGUGGUGCAUACCUGUAAUCCCAGCAACUCAGGAGGCUGAGACAGGAGGAUGGCAAGUUCCAGGCCAGCCUCAGCAACUUAGCAAGGCCCUAUGUAACUCAGAAAGACCCUGUUUCUA
This 127-nucleotide small RNA is filed under the name Marmota monax (woodchuck). The record is from RNAcentral. Lineage: Eukaryota; Metazoa; Chordata; Mammalia; Rodentia; Sciuridae.